GGCGUAAAGAGCUCGUAGGUGGUUUGUCGCGUUGUUCGUGAAAUCUCACGGCUUAACUGUGAGCGUGCGGGCGAUACGGGCAGACUUGAGUACUGCAGGGGAGACUGGAAUUCCUGGUGUAGCGGUGGAAUGCGCAGAUAUCAGGAGGAACACCGGUGGCGGAGGCGGGUCUCUGGGCGGUAAUUGACGCUGAGGAGCGAAAGCGUGGGGAGCGAACAGGAUUAGAUACCCUGGUAGUCCACGCCGUAAACGGUGGGUACUAGGUGUGGGUUUCCUUCCUUGGGAUCCGUGCCGUAGCUAACGCAUUAAGUACCCCGCCUGGGGAGUACGGCCGCAAGGCUAAAACUCAAAGAAAUUGACGGGGGCCCGCACAAGCGGCGGAGCAUGUGGAUUAAUUCGAUGCAACGCGAAGAACCUUACCUGGGUUUGACAUGCACAGGACGCCGGCAGAGAUGUCGGUUCCCUUGUGGCCUGUGUGCAGGUGGUGCAUGGCUGUCGUCAGCUCGUGUCGUGAGAUGUUGGGUUAAGUCCCGCAACGAGCGCAACCCUUGUCUCAUGUUGCCAGCGGGUAAUGCCGGGGACUCGUGAGAGACUGCCGGGGUCAACUCGGAGGAAGGUGGAGAUGACGUCAAGUCAUCAUGCCCCUUAUGUCCAGGGCUUCACACAUGCUACAAUGGCCGGUACAAAGGGCUGCGAUGCCGCGAGGUUAAGCGAAUCCUUUUAAAGCCGGUCUCAGUUCGGAUCGGGGUCUGCAACUCGACCCCGUGAAGUCGGAGUCGCUAGUAAUCGCAG
This 792-nucleotide ribosomal RNA is filed under the name uncultured Mycobacterium sp. RNAcentral describes it as "bacterial SSU rRNA". It matches the Rfam family "Bacterial small subunit ribosomal RNA", at positions 557 to 1347 of the family's 1533-position model. The record is from RNAcentral. Lineage: Bacteria; Bacillati; Actinomycetota; Actinomycetes; Mycobacteriales; Mycobacteriaceae.